UGUGGUGACUAAUGCAGACCCUGCUAUUAAAACAAAAAUAUAUUCUCGGCCUAUCAUCAAGUCUUCAUUAGUUCUGCAAAACACCCAGAAAAUGUACUUGCUGUCUGAUAGUCAUCAGAUAAGAUGUACCCUAUAUCAUGAACAAAUUGCUCAACACUUCCUGUCACUCCCAUCUUCAGCUUCAUCUGUCAUCUUCUCACAUCUUUGGCUGCAAAAAUUCCAACUUUUUUGCCCAUAAGUUGUGGCCUGUUAGGAAUAUGGUUUAGGGUUAUUCUUGCCUGAAAAAUAUUGACACCUUUGAUCAAUGUGUUUAUUGGUGGGGUUGAUGGAGUCGUGAUAUUGAAUUGCUGGUGCCAUUCCCUGCAGCACCCACUUCACAAUGAUAAGAGACAGCAACAGGACACCUACACAGAUUGAGAACUAAUUGUUACGUCGCUGAGAUCGCGAGACGACCGCCAAUGUCAAUCUACAACGCAGUUUCUUUAUUGGAAUUGCUUGGUCCUGACACGGAGAUCCUUGAGCCAACGCCUGCUUUUGUCCAUGACAGAAGAGGGACUUCCUCCAGCGUUCUGUUCCAUCCUUAUCCUCGCGACGUCUGCUCAUCCAGUUUCACUGCUUCUUUUGCUGUUAGACUUUUCUUGCUUCAAUGGCGAGUUAGCUCACUUCAGCGUUCGCUUUCGUUCGCUGUGACACACCUGCAGUCACUGACCACGGGAUUAUGCCCAGGCAAUGCAGAGGAGACGUCGAGAAGAUGGAUUUUCUCAUCUUUAAAAAUCGUCACUGGUCUCCGUCGGAUGUUGCCCCUGCUCCUGGUGCGAACGAAACUCGGUGGAGUGAAUGGAUAAUGCGCCAACAAAAUACUUCUGGAAAUGGACAAUCGCUGGCAGUGGAAAGGGACAACCGUGGCCGGCACCGAGACUCGUCAUCAACGUGGAUCAUCGUGACCGGCACUCAGACUCGU
Daphnia pulicaria is the source of this 961-nucleotide long non-coding RNA. RefSeq lists it as uncharacterized. NCBI's taxonomy places the organism in Eukaryota, Metazoa, Arthropoda, Branchiopoda, Diplostraca, Daphniidae. The transcript has 6 exons. The record is from RefSeq and is a predicted model, not a curated record.